AUUGAACGCUGGCGGCAUGCGUAACACAUGCAAGUCGAACGGUGUUUGGUGCUUGCACCAGACAUAGUGGCGGACGGGUGAGUAAUGCGUAGGAAUCUGUCUUAGAGAGGGGGACAACCCGAGGAAACUUGGGCUAAAACCGCAUAUUCUCGAGAGAGGAAAGCAGGGGACCGGAAACGGCCUUGUGCUCUAAGGUGAGCCUACGUCGGAUUAGCUAGUUGGUAGGGUAAAAGCCUACCAAGGCGAUGAUCUGUAGCUGGUCUGAGAGGACGGACAGCCACACUGGGACUGAGACACGGCCCAGACUCCUACGGGAGGCAGCAGUGGGGAAUA
This 333-nucleotide ribosomal RNA is filed under the name uncultured bacterium. RNAcentral's name for it is "bacterial SSU rRNA". It matches the Rfam family "Bacterial small subunit ribosomal RNA", at positions 30 to 363 of the family's 1533-position model. The record is from RNAcentral.